GAUCAUGGCUCAGAUUGAACGCUGGCGGCAUGCUUUACACAUGCAAGUCGAACGGCAGCAUGAGGAGCUUGCUCCUUGGUGGCGAGUGGCGCACGGGUGAGUAAGACAUCGGAACGUGUCCUUUUGUGGGGGGAUAACUGUCCGAAAGGACAGCUAAUACCGCAUAAGACCUGAGGGUGAAAGCGGGGGAUCGCAAGACCUCGCGCGAAAGGAGCGGCCGAUGGCCGAUUAG
This 232-nucleotide ribosomal RNA is filed under the name uncultured bacterium. RNAcentral's name for it is "partial 16S ribosomal RNA". It matches the Rfam family "Bacterial small subunit ribosomal RNA", at positions 15 to 244 of the family's 1533-position model. The record is from RNAcentral.